AACGAACGCUGGCGGCGUGCCUAACACAUGCAAGUCGAACGAGAAAGGGGCUUCGGCUCCGAGUAAAGUGGCGCACGGGUGAGUAACACGUGGGUAACCUGCCUCUAAGAUUGGGAUAACUCGUCGAAAGAUGAGCUAAUACCGAAUAAGACCACAGUUCCCGCGGGAACAGGGGUCAAAGGUAGCCUCUGCUUGCAAGCUAUCACUUAGAGAUGGGCCUGCGCACCAUUAGCUAGUUGGUAGGGUAACGGCCUACCAAGGCAAAGAUGGUUAGCUGGUCUGAGAGGAUGAUCAGCCACACUGGAACUGAGACACGGUCCAGACUCCUACGGGAGGCAGCAGUGGGGAAUAUUGCGCAAUGGGCGAAAGCUUGACGCAGCAACGCCGCGGGAGUGAUGAAGGCCGUCGGGUCGUAAAGCUCUGUCGGGAGGAACGAAUGCUCCUGAGGUUAACAGCCUCGGGAGGUGACGGUACCUUCAAAGGAAGCACCGGCUAACUCUGUG
This 503-nucleotide ribosomal RNA is filed under the name uncultured bacterium. Its description in RNAcentral is "partial 16S ribosomal RNA". It matches the Rfam family "Bacterial small subunit ribosomal RNA", at positions 29 to 507 of the family's 1533-position model. The record is from RNAcentral.